Non-coding RNA from Gemmatimonas sp. SG8_38_2, 72 nucleotides. The record is from Rfam. NCBI's taxonomy places the organism in Bacteria, Pseudomonadati, Gemmatimonadota, Gemmatimonadia, Gemmatimonadales, Gemmatimonadaceae.
GCUCGCGUAGCUCAGUGGUAGAGCGCUUCCUUGGUAAGGAAGAGGUCGCGGGUUCAAUCCCCGCCGCGAGCU